AGAAGCAGAAGUUGUGAAGGAGAAGCCUAAAGCAGUUCAUGAUAAAAAAGGGGUCAAGUUACCAAAAGAGAUGAUCAGAGGAAUCUCUGCAAAGACAGCUGAGGUUUCAAAACAGAAACCCAAACCAGCUGUAACAAAGAGAGAACCUGCUCCUCUCAAGACAAAACCAGCCCCAGUGGUCAA
Molecule: non-coding RNA, 183 nt
Organism: Paralichthys olivaceus (Japanese flounder)
Lineage: Eukaryota; Metazoa; Chordata; Actinopteri; Pleuronectiformes; Paralichthyidae
Source: RefSeq, a predicted model, not a curated record